AACGAACGCUGGCGGCAGGCUUAACACAUGCAAGUCGAGCGCCCCGCAAGGGGAGCGGCAGACGGGUGAGUAACGCGUGGGAAUCUACCGAGCCCUACGGAAUAGCUCCGGGAAACUGGAAUUAAUACCGUAUACGCCCUUCGGGGGAAAGAUUUAUCGGGGUUUGAUGAGCCCGCGUUGGAUUAGCUAGUUGGUGGGGUAAAGGCCUACCAAGGCGACGAUCCAUAGCUGGUCUGAGAGGAUGAUCAGCCACAUUGGGACUGAGACACGGCCCAAACUCCUACGGGAGGCAGCAGUGGGGAAUAUUGGACAAUGGGCGCAAGCCUGAUCCAGCCAUGCCGCGUGAGUGAUGAAGGCCCUAGGGUUGUAAAGCUCUUUCACCGGUGAAGAUAAUGACGGUAACCGGAGAAGAAGCCCCGGCUAACUUCGUGCCAGCCGCCGCGGUAA
This 447-nucleotide ribosomal RNA is filed under the name uncultured bacterium. RNAcentral describes it as "partial 16S ribosomal RNA". It matches the Rfam family "Bacterial small subunit ribosomal RNA", at positions 29 to 523 of the family's 1533-position model. The record is from RNAcentral.